UUGGCAGUGAAACGCUCUGAAAUACCUGCUUGACCGAGAUGCUUCUACCAUGGAGGUUUUUCCCUCAAGAACUAAUCUGAAUUCAUAUCAAACGUGUUCUUAACCGUAAAGAGUAACAGCCCGCUGUAACCGUGGCUGUAUCGCCUCCCCUGACGGACUACUAAGACAGAGCUGCCACAUCUGGAUGAGCAGAGACAUCUGAUCAUCCUGCCCUAACAUGCUGCUGGGGGGCCGGUACCGGGACAACAACCACCCCGCACACACGCCCCGGCCGGGAAGCACACCGGCAGCCUCGCUAGAGUGAAGGGGCCGCCGUGCUGGCCCCCCGGGACUUCAACAGAACCGAGUCCCGACCUGGAGCUCCUUAUGGCUGUAUAUGAUGAGAACAUCCUGAAGAACCCGUUCUACCUGGCGCUGGAGAAGCAGAGACCGGACCUCUGCAGCCGAGUGGCAGAGCUCCACGGCAUUGUUCUGGUUCCAUGUUGUGGAAGUGUGAGCGUCAGCAGCUACUCGGACUCUCACUUUGACAGCUACGUCCUCCAGCCGGAGGAUGACAGAUACAAAACUGUGGAUGGAAAGGAGGUCAGGAUCCAGGACAGGCGGGUCCUGCUUGGAGCCGGCUUCCCUCAUCCAGCUGUGGUCCCCAUCCUGUUUGAGGAAACCUUCUACAACGACCAGGAGCAGAGCUACAGCAUCCUCUGCAUCUCCCGGCCCAUGGACGUGGAGCCCAGCCCGGCCGAGAUCAGCCCGCCCCCGCCCUACUGCCUGAGGAGCCUGGACGACGUCCGGGAGUUCCUGGGACGCCACGCCCAGAAACUGGACAAAUUCAUCCAGAGCUUCUGUCAGACGUUCAAGGAGCAGGAAAAGAAGGGAUUCCGUCACCAGAUAGACUUGGUGAAUGGACUUUACACUAAAUGUCUUCAGUGUUUGCUGAGAGAUUCUCAACUGAAACUUCUGGCGAAGCAGGAGCUUCAGAUGACUCUGCUCAAACAGGCGGUGGAGAUGUAUGUUCAUCAUGGUAUCCAUGACUUAAUAUUUAACUUUGUGGGAACUCUUGAAGCCAGCCAGGAGGCUGCCUUCAACAAAAUCACCAGGAGUCUGCAGGAUCUGCAGCAGAAAGACCUGGGAGUCAAGCCUCAGUUCAGUAUAAACCUGUCCCGGGCAAAGAGAGAGCUGAGUCAGCUCAACCAGCAGACGUCCCCCCUCCUCAAGCUGCUCUGCCUGCGCAGAGUCGUCCUCACCGCCACCCAGACCCCAACACGCACCGUCAGUAUCGAAGCCGUGAGCGCAGACGACCUUCUCCCAGUCGUCCUCUACCUGCUGGUGAAGACGGAAAUCCCCAACUGGAUGGCUAAUCUGAGCUACAUCAGGAACUUCUGCUUCAGCCACUCCACCAAGGACGAGCUCAGCUACUGUCUCAGCACGUUUGAGGCAGCCGUGGAAUACAUCAGCCUGGGGAAGCUGCAGGAUCUCCACUCUGUUUCAGGUGAUGUUGGUGAGAAGACGCUGUUCAAGGAGAGGAUGAGUGUUCUGGCUCCAAAUGCUGCGGCGCCCAUCCACUCUCUGUUCGAGCACGUAGCAAAUGGAAAUGAGGCAGAAGUGGAGCGUCUGCUGAGAGAAGCCGAGGGUGACAGAGAUGUCCGGAUGUGCCACCCACUCUGUUCCUGUGAUCUCUGUGAUGUCCAGCUGUCUGGGCGCUUGAACGACCUGUCCAUCGUCACACCGUUCUCCAGGGACGACCGAGGCUACACUCCCCUGCACGUCGCUGCCAUCUGCGGUCAGGCCCAACUCAUCGACUUACUGGUGCGGAAAGGAGCAGCGGUAAAUGCUACGGACUACCACGCCCUCACACCGCUGCACCUCGCCUGUCAGCGGGGAUACCAGGGAGUCUCUCUGCUGCUGCUGCACUACAAGGCCAACACGGACGCACAGGACAACUACGGCAACACAGCGCUGCAUCUGGCCUGCAUGUACGGACACGAGGACUGUGUGAAGGCCUUGGUGUACUACGACGUCCAGUCGUGCCGUCUGGAUGUGCAGAACGAUAAAGGUGACACGCCGCUGCACCUGGCAGCGCGCUGGGGGUAUGAAAGCAUCAUAGAGGUGCUGCUGGAGAACGGAGCCAGCACCCACCUCUUCAACAAGAGCAAAGAGUCUCCAGUGCACUGUGCACUCAACUCUAAGAUCCUCAUGCUGCUGCAGUCGAUGAGGAACAGCCACCAUCGCAGCGGGAUUGAUUCUCCGAGCUGCUCACCUCUGGCCUCGGACUGCAGCAGCCGGCGUUCGUCCAUCUCCAGCACGUCGUCUCUGGGUUCAGAGGCCAAACCAGAGGGCGAGCGAGUCCAGCACAGAGAGGUGGAGAAGCUGCUGCGGGCCUCGGCUGACGGAGACGUGGAGAUGGUGCGCUACCUGCUGGAGUGGAUGGAUGAAGAGGAGGAGGAUGAGGAGCUGCGCUCCGAGGCGCGCCUCUGCCACCCGCUCUGCCAGUGUGAAAGCUGUGCUCCCACUCAAAAGCUGACCGUGCAGCAGGCCGGGACUCUGGGCGUGAACAGCUCCAACUGUGACGGCUUCACGCCGCUCCACGUCGCGUCCCUGCACGGCCGCGCCGCGCUGGCCGCUCUGCUGAUACGACACGGCGCCGGCGUCAACAUGCGGACCAACCAGAGCGCCACGCCGCUGCACCUGGCCUGCCAGAACAGCCACGCUCCGGUGGUGAGGCUUCUGCUGGAAUGCAACGCCAAGCUGAAUAAGAAGGAUCACUAUGGAAACACACCUCUGAUCCUUGCCUGUCUCCGUGGAAACCUGGAGACGGUCAUGAUGCUGUUAGAGAACAACGCCGUGGUGAACGUGGCGAACCUCCAGGGAAACACGGCGCUGCACGAGGCGGUGCAGGGCGGCCACCAGGAGCUGGUGGAGCUGCUGCUGAGGAGCGGGGCCUCGCCCGGCCUCCGGAACAAGAGGCAGAGGACGGCGCUGGACUGUGCUUACGAGCUGGGUGGUAAGAACACUGAAAUCCUGAGAACUUUGCAGAAGGCAUCAGGACUUUCCCCUGAUGACGAACCAAUAAAACUCCUCUCUGUGCCCAAAGGAGCCCUGGCUCACUCGUUUGUUCAGCGUCUGAGGCUGCAGGACAACUCCAACGGCAGGAAGCAGAAGCUGGCUCAGUCCAUCAGCAGGAUGCAGCAGAUGAGGAAAGGCUCGUUUGGAUCUCCCCCCAGGAGUUCGGGUAUCACCCAGAUGAGUCCGAGCAGGAGGCGACUGAGGCGAGGGGAGACGGUAGACGGGAGCAGCCUUGCAGGAAGCCCUGACAGCCGCUGGGCUCAGAAAGCUCGUCCUCUGAGCAGCUGCAGCAGCCUGGACUCUGCAGCGCUGACGGCAGACGCUCCGCCGGCCCCUCGCUCCCGAGACGCCUCAGACGGAGACGAGCCGGCAGACCGUACACACCACUGCUCUAACGUUGCUUGGAUGUCUGUAGAUCUAGACGAUCCUCCCCCCGACCCCAGUGAGCCACACUCACCUGAUGAGCCCGGUUGCAGUGCAGGUGCUGAGACGUCCACACCUGCACGAGCCGUCAGCUCCUUCUCCGGACUCAGCGCAGCCAAUCAGAGAGACCACAGCCCUGGGGAGUCACGCCACGCCCACUCUGGUUCUGAUGCCGAGUCAUGCAAAAGCCCCGCCCUCUCUCGUACUGAUGCUGAGUCAUGCGACGGCCACACCCACUCUGAUUCUGAUGCCGAGUCAUGGGACGGCCCUGCCCACACUUGUACUGAUGCUGAGUCAUGCCACGCCCACUCUGAUUCUCAUGUCGAGUCAUGCAAAAGCCCUGCCCGCUCUCAUACUGAAGCUGAGUCCUGCGACAGCCCCGCCCUCUCUGAUUCUGAGUCCUGCGACAGCCACGCCCUCUCUCAUCUUGAAGCUGAAUCCGUACAGACGGAGGCAGGAGAUGAAGGUUGAGGUGCAGCCUCCCGUUCUCACCCGCCCCCUCUCAUCCACUCCCACCCAGAUGCAGGAAAUGAGAGCAGGGAGGAAUCCGGGAGCCCGUGAUGCAGCUGAUGGCGUCUAGAGUUCUGUUAAACAACUUUCAGAAGACGUCUGAGAAGCACAAGGCUUUUCCCUUUAAGGAAAGACACAAGAAAGCACAUUGUUUUAGAUGAAAUUUGACCAACUGCAAUUCAUCUGAGAUCAUCAUGCAUCAUGAGAGGGAGGAGAGCAGGAGGACUGAAGCCAGAGACUGAUGGUGUCUAGAGACUGAUGGUGUUAUUUGGAGAUGGAUCUGCCGUGAUGUGGAACAGCUGCAGUACUGUAAACCCUGUAAAACCCUCCAACUGUCCCACUUCCUUCAUGUAUGUGACUCCAGUCGUGUUCAGGAUGAAGCUGGUUUUGAUGUCCCCCCCACUCACACAACUCACUCCGUUUUAAAAUGUCACAUUUAAGCUGAAGUUAUGUCAAACUGCAGUUAAUCAAGUUCACAUUAUUUUGUACCACUGAUUUAGUUUUCAGGUUUGAGUGUGAAAAAUGUUGGAUGUGCCUUAUUUAAUUCACACCCAAAUAACCAAAUAAUAAAAGUGAGUUGGAUAAAUA
This is an RNA transcript of Cololabis saira (Pacific saury), 4581 nucleotides long. It is a transcript of the gene named ankyrin repeat domain 27 (VPS9 domain), with no coding region annotated. Lineage: Eukaryota; Metazoa; Chordata; Actinopteri; Beloniformes; Belonidae. The record is from RefSeq and is a predicted model, not a curated record. The transcript is spliced from 29 exons.